CCUACGGGUGGCAGCAGUGGGGAAUAUUGCGCAAUGGGCGAAAGCCUGACGCAGCGACGCCGCGUGAGGGAUGAAGGUCUUCGGAUCGUAAACCUCUGUCAGCAGGGAAGAACGGUCACUGUGCUAAUCAGCAGUGAAUUGACGGUACCUGCAAAGGAAGCACCGGCUAACUCCGUGCCAGCAGCCGCGGUAAUACGGAGGGUGCGAGCGUUAAUCGGAAUUACUGGGCGUAAAGCGCUCGUAGGCGGUAUGUCAAGUCACGGGUGAAAUCCCCGGGCUCAACGUGGGAACUGCAUUUGAAACUGGCAAACUGGAGUGUGUGAGAGGAUAGUGGAAUUCCAGGUGUAGGAGUGAAAGCCGUAGAUAUCGGGAGGAACAUCAGUGGCGAAGGCGACUAUCUGGCACAUAACUGACGCUGAGGAGCGAAAGCGUGGGUAGCAAACAGGAUUAGAUACCCUAGUAGUC
Molecule: ribosomal RNA, 465 nt
Filed under: uncultured bacterium
Lineage: Bacteria
Description: partial 16S ribosomal RNA
Rfam family: Bacterial small subunit ribosomal RNA
Source: RNAcentral